UCAAAUAUAUAAUGGUUUCUCCUGUUCGCCAGUCGGCAUGAACACAUAAAUACUGUGGAUAUUACGUUACAUAACCGCAGUGAAAGAACGACACUAUGGAGAUGUUUGGACUGCAGUAUAAUGAGCAUGGUUGCCCCCAGUUCCUGUGGACUGGGACCAGCACAGGACCAAGACUGCCCGACCUCCUCCAGAGCAGUGCAUCCACUGCACAGUCAUCGUAAUGGACGUGGCACUAAGGAGGAUUGUCCAGCCGCAGAUGACGCUGAAGAACCGUUACAAGCCGCUAACACCAGUCUGCUUCAGCAGCUUGGUUGAAAUGGAGAUUGGAUGAUGCACUGUGCCCAACUAAUCAUACACGUGAUGCCUUGAGAGGUCGGGGUCAGAUUGUGAGUACUCCUCUGUUUUCCUGAUCCGAUGUGAGGUCAAAGGUCAGGGAUGUCUAUGUGUCCAGAUUGUAAUGCACUCUGAGACAAAUUUGUAAAUUGUGAAAAUGGGCUAUACAAAUAAACUGAAUUGAAUUGAGACGUCAGUGCACAACUCAAGACGACAAGCAUUUAUGCAUUUUACAUCGAA
Molecule: long non-coding RNA, 573 nt
Organism: Pseudoliparis swirei
Lineage: Eukaryota; Metazoa; Chordata; Actinopteri; Perciformes; Liparidae
Exons: 4
Source: RefSeq, a predicted model, not a curated record